UCAAAAACAAACCCUUAAACUAGACAACGGAGACCUGUCAGUAACAAGGUCGCCCCGCCAACGCAUAGCUUUAGCAUUGCAUUAGCAAUUAGCAUAGCAUUAGCUCUAAAUGGAUCGUAACUUGUUAAGUGAACAUCAUGUUGUUUUCAAGAACAUUUUAAACUCUAGAUUGAGACCACAAAACAAGUUUAUGAUGUUGUCCUUAGUAGUAAAUAGUAGUCAUUUAGUGAGGCGGAAUCCCCCUCUGCUGGCCAUUAGAGGAAUGCAAGUUCAAUGCACUUCCUUUUUGUUAAUCUGUGUUUUGUUGCUGAUGUUUUGUUACUCGUGGCUGGUUCUUGGCUAACAGCCCCAACAGCGGCUAAUCGUUAGGCUGACACGGGGUAGGACAUGUACAUAUUAUUUAGGGGAUCAUUUUCAGGGGCAUUUCAUCAGACAUUGGGGGCAUUUUUUGUAACUUAACAGAUUGAGAAGUGUUUUCUUAACUUUUUUGAACGGAAACAGAAAACAUAAAUCAGACUCAUUCAAAUGUAUUUUUAUUUCUUUUUAGUUUCUCGUGUUUAGCAAUAUGUUGAGCAAUGUCAAACAGCUCGACCAAUAUGCUGAACGCGGUCUUUGCAUCCGAUUCACAGCCUCCACAGGCUCCCUGUUGGACAAAACAUUUAAACCUUGAAACCUCCAGUUAACUGCAGUCUCAACUAAUGGUAGUUUACCCAAACAGAGGAUUACCUGUUAAACACAGGAUGGUGGCAAUUUAUGAGGAGGAGAAACAUCUCUGCACGACGUUAGCUAACGUUAGCUAGCUAGCAAGCCUUCGUAGUUAGUUAAAAAACUAGUCAGAGCUAGCUAACUAAAUUAUUUUAAAGUAAUGAAUACUACACCUCAUCGUAGGCGAUGGUGUGUUGCUCGGUCAUCCGCUGAGGAAAAGACACUUAUUUCUUAAUGUUUUCGCUCCCCUUGAUAAAGUCAGCAGUAGAAUUUGCGCGUUGGCAGUUCGUCGUGGGGAAGUUGCAGAACCUGCCGGUGGUUCUCUUGUCAUCUUCCUCCACCCCAAGCUAUCUUCCCUGUUCCGAUUGUCGAUGGGUGCGUAGAUUUUUUUCUUUUGGACCUGAGAUGGUGACAGAGGCCGGAUUUGCUCUCCCACAAGUCUAAAGUGCUUCAUUUUCUUCAAGAAUGUUUCAUGCAGACGCGACAUCCGUCAAAGGUAAUGAUGAAGGAUGUGAGAAGCAGAAAGCUCUUUUGAAGUCGGCUCUCCGGCGGAACUUCCACACGGUGUUUUGAGCCGUAUUCAUGAAAUCCGCCAGGCUGACUGAGAUGAAGCCGUGGCUCCAGUGGCGAGACGCUCCAGUUUGAGUGCACAGCAGUAAAUACGGACUGUAUAAACUGAUGGAAUGGGCCGUUUGUAGAAGACAAGAAUAUAAUGCAAGCGGCGCAUGCAGUUCUUAUAGCUUCCACCUCAUGUAGCCCCCAAAAGGUUUUCUGCCUUGCACUCCCAACAGUUCCCAUGUUUCCACAUUUGUAAUGAGACAUGUUGAUGUGUCUUUAGGGGAAUAUCGCAAGCGUCUUUUCGGCUGCUUUAACCGAAGCCUUCGUAGCGUGUGAUGCGUUCAAGGACUGUGGGAAGCAUGGAACGCUCACAAUAAUGUUGUUUUUCAGAGCUUUUGGACGUGAUCAACAGAGGUCUCGGCAAUCAUUUAAAGAAAACAUGCAUAUACAUACAUUUGGAUUUUGUAUCUGCUCUAUUCAUUUGCUUCUUUAUUUCUGGGUGUAA
This is a long non-coding RNA of Gasterosteus aculeatus aculeatus (three-spined stickleback), 1768 nucleotides long. The record is from Ensembl. Lineage: Eukaryota; Metazoa; Chordata; Actinopteri; Perciformes; Gasterosteidae.